UUGAAGGCGUGGAGACUGAAGUCCUCUCUAUAUCCACAGAACAGGUAUGGCACAGGCAGUGGCAGUGCAGCUUUUCCACUGUCCCACUAAUGUGCCUCAGUACUAGCCCAGGGGGACCACGUUUAGGAUAAGAAGGCUGUUCAGUCUCCAUGCCCUUCAAUCCCUGGCUACU
RNAcentral lists this small RNA (172 nucleotides) under Aotus nancymaae (Ma's night monkey). RNAcentral's name for it is "TUC338 (ENSANAG00000012075.1)". It matches the Rfam family "TUC338". The record is from RNAcentral. Lineage: Eukaryota; Metazoa; Chordata; Mammalia; Primates; Aotidae.